This 302-nucleotide long non-coding RNA is filed under the name Fukomys damarensis (Damara mole-rat). RNAcentral describes it as "lncRNA (ENSFDAG00000023696.1)". Lineage: Eukaryota; Metazoa; Chordata; Mammalia; Rodentia; Bathyergidae. The record is from RNAcentral.
AAGAUAAUGGAUCUUAACAAGAUAUAGUACUGUGUGAAGGGCUGCAAGAGAGCCUGAGGAAGAGCAUUUCCUUCAGAGUGAAGGACACCCCAGGCAGACAAGGACCAGUUCCACAGGAUGCCGUUCAUGCCAUCGUUGGAGUGUGAACAUCAGAAAAUGAGUCCUACCCAUCUCGUGUGAGCAUUGAGACUGCACGCCACAUUAAACAGAACAAUGGACUUGGCUCAAUGGGUGCAUUAAAGAGAAGGAGCAUAGAACACGUUUCUUACACUGCAAAGCAGUCCCUGAAUGUGAAAUACCCC